GGGUAGUUUAGAAGUGCGUCGCGGAGCCGGCCCCGGAAAUAUAGCGACAGCUUCAGCUUUCAGUGUGAGGGAGCCGAGGGCCCAGCCAAACCCUGCGGGGGGGCAAUUCCUGGGUACCCUUCCCAUAUUUUCGGUCUUUGGGCUGCGCUGUGGUAACCCCAGAGCCUGGUUGCGUGCUCACCAGCGACAAGUGUCUUUGCAUUGGGACAUGAAAGGGGACUGGGAAGUGCCGUGCAGUUUCAGGGUAGUUUCUGGUUAAUUACAUUUUCAUGGGUUUUCGCAGAGUCUGGGGGCAAUUUGUGUCCUCCAGAGACCAGGGACCAGGGCCGAAGCUACGGCAGGGGAGACGCGGCCAGGGCUGUGGCUUCUCGUGCGAGCUCGGUUUGCGUCCGUUCCCGUCUGGCGCCCGGGCCUCUGGGAGCCCAGGGCCUUGAAUGAGACAGUGCUCGCCCUUGAAAAAGCAGUUCUAGGUCACUCGGCCUGCUUUGCUAGCAUUCCAGGCCCCAGCUCACCUUCCGCCAUCCAUGUUGACAACACCAGUUCUACGACGAAGCGGGCGAUUCCUCUUGCCUGGAAUUUCACUCGUCCCCGGCCAGCAGGAGCAUAUCACUGUGACUUACAACCCUUCUCUAGUCUGCUACAAUGGAGUCUUAAACAAGAAAAUUUUAUAUUUUGACUUGCAUCAUUGAGAAAAACACUGCCAACCUGAUUGUGGUUCCUUUGAAGCUUAAAUCAAGAAGAAUUAGAAACCCUGAACAGAACAAUAACAAGCAGCAAGACUGGAAUGGUAAUACAAAAGUUACCAAGGAAAAAAAGUCCAGGACCAGAUGUAUUCAUGGCUAAAUUCUAUCAGACAUUCAAAGAAUUGGUAACAAUCCAAUUGACACUAUUCCACAAGAUAGAGAAAGAGGGAAUCCUUCCUAAAUCAUUCUAUGAAGCCACUAUCACCCUAAUACCAAAACCAGGAAGGGACAUGACAAAAAAGAAAACUACAGACCAAUAUCCCUGAUGAACAUAGAUGCAAAAAUUCUUAACAAAAUACUAGCUAACUGAAUCCAACAGCACAUCAAAAAGGUAAUCUGGCAUGAUCGAGUGGGUUUCAUGCCAGAGAUGCAGGGAUGGUUUAACAUACACAAGUCAAUAAAUGUGAUAUGCCACAUAAACAGAAUUAAAAACAAAAAUCACAUGAUCAUCUCAAUAGAUGCAGAAGACGCAUUUGACAAAAUCCAGCAUCUCUUUAUGAUUAAAACCUUCAGCAAAACUGGCAUACCAGGGACAUACCUCAAUGUAAUAAAAGCCAUCUGUGACAAACUCACAGCCAACAUAAUACUGAAUGGGGAAAAGUGGAAAGCAUUUCCUCUGAGAACUGGAACAAGACAAGGAUGCCCACUCUCACCACUUCUAUUCAACAUAGUACUGGAAGUCCUAGCCAGAGCAAUCAGACAAGAGAAGGAAAUAAAGGGCAUCCAAAUUGGUAAAGAGUCAAACUGUUGCUGUUUGCUGAUGAUAUGAUCAUAUGCCUAGAAAACCCUAAAAACUCAUCCAGGAAGCUCCUAGAACUUAUAAAUAAAUUCAGCAAAGUUUUAGGAUACAAAAUUAAUGUAUACAAAUCAGUAGCUCUGCUAUACACCGGCAGCAACUAAACUGAGAAUCAAAUUAAGAACUCAACCCCUUUUACAAUAGCCGCAAAACAAACAAACAAACUUAGGAAUAUACCUUACCAAGGAGGUGAAAGACCUCUACAAGGAAAACUACAAAACACUGCUGAAAGAAAUCAUAGACACCACAAACAAAUGGAAACACAUCUCGUGCUCAUGGAUGGGUAGAAUCAAUAUUGUGAAAAUGACCAUUUUGCCAAAAGCAAUCUACAAAUUCAAUGCAAUUCCCAUCAAAAUACCAUCCAUCAUUCUUCACAGAACUAGAAAAAAAAAAAUCCUAAAAUUCAUAUGGAACCAAAUAAGAGCCCAAAUAGCCAAAGCAAGCCUAAGCAAAAAGAACAAAUCUGGAGGCAUCACAUUACUGAUUUCAAACUGUACUAUAAGGCUAUAGUCACCAAAACAGUAUGGUACUGGUAUAAAAAUAGGCACAUCAACCAAUAGAACAGAAUAGAGAACCCAGAAAUAAACCCAAAUACAUACAGCCAACUGAUCAUUGACAAAGCAAACAAAAACAUAAAAUGGGGAAAAGACAUUCUUUUCAACAAAUGGUGCUGGGAUAAUUGGCUAGCCACAUGUAUGAGAAUGAAAUUGGAUCCCCAUCUCUCACCUUAUACAAAAAUCAACUCAAGAUGAAUCAAUGACUUAAAUCUAAGACCUGAAACUAUAAAAGUUCUAGAAGAUAACAUUGGACAAACACUCCUAGAGAUUGGUUUAGGCAUAUAUUUCACGACCAAGAACCCAAAAGCAAAUGCAACAAAAACAAAGAUGAAUAGCUCAGACUUACUAAAGAGAUUUUCACAGCAAAAGGAAGAAUCAGCAAAGUAAACAGACAACCCACAGAGUGAGAGAAAAUCUUCAUAAUAUAGGCAUCUGACAAAGGGCUAAUAUCCAGAAUCUAUAAAGAACUCAAGCAAAUUAGCAGGAAAAAAAACAAACAGUCCCAUAAAAAAGUUGGCUUAAAAGAAGAUAUACAAAUGGCCAAAAAAUAUAUGAAGAACUGCUCAACAUCACUAAUGAUCAGAAAAAUGCAAAUCAAAACCACAAUGUGAUACCACCUUACUCCUGCAAGAAUAGCCAUAAUCAAAAAAUCAAAAAAGAAUAGAUGUUGGCAUGGAUGCUGUGAAAAGGGAACACUUCUACACUGCUGGUGGGAAUGUAAACUAGUACAAUCUAUGGAAAACAGCAUGGAGAUUCCUUAAAGAACUAAUAGUAGAACUACCAUUUGAUCCAGCAAUCCCACUAUUGGGUGUCUACCCAGAGGAAAAGAAGUCAUUAUACAAAAAAGAUACUUGCACACACAUGUUUAUAGCAGCACAAUUCUUAAUUGCAAGAAUAUGGAACCAGCCCAAAGGUCCAUCAUUCAAUGAGUGGAUGAAGAAGUUGUGAGAUAUAUAUACAUAUAAAUAUAUAUCUCAUAUGUAUAUCUCACUUAAUAUAUAUGUAUAUAAAAAAUGGAAUAGUACUCAGUCAUAAAAAGGAUUGAAUUAAUGGCAUUCAUAGCAACCUGGAUGGAACUGGAGACUAUUAUUCUAAGUAAAGUAACUCAGGAAUGGAAAACCACACAUUGUAUGUCCUGAAUCAUAAAUGGGAGCUAAGCUAUAAGGAUGCAAAGGCAUAAGAAUGAUACAAUAGACUUAGGGUACUCAGGGGAAAGAGUGGGCAGGGGUGAGGUAUAAAAGACUACAAAUAAGUGCAGUGUAUCCUGCUCAUGUGAUGAGUGCAUCAAAAUCUCACAAAUCACUACUAAAGAACUUACUCAUGUAGCCAAGUACCGCCUGUUCCCCCAAAACCUGUGG
Pongo pygmaeus (Bornean orangutan) is the source of this 3454-nucleotide long non-coding RNA. RefSeq lists it as uncharacterized. The record is from RefSeq and is a predicted model, not a curated record. The transcript has 3 exons. Lineage: Eukaryota; Metazoa; Chordata; Mammalia; Primates; Hominidae.